Molecule: long non-coding RNA, 249 nt
Filed under: Homo sapiens (human)
Lineage: Eukaryota; Metazoa; Chordata; Mammalia; Primates; Hominidae
Description: non-protein coding lnc-BCL2L1-1:2
Source: RNAcentral
GUGAGUCCACUGGAACAGCUCUUAGGAGUACGUUAUUACAAAGACCGGAGUGCUCUGCUCCAAACUAUUUGGGAAAGGUGGUACCAACUGAAGAGGUGGAGAGUCAACCUAGAUCACAGAAUGGCGCGCAUCCUGGACCUCUCCAAGUUUUCAGGGAAGAAAACUCUAUUUUUAAAAAUUAUUCUCGUUAUGGUUGUGCAUUAUCCCUUGAAGGUUCAGGGAGUUCACUUCGUCUUAACAUGGAGUCGC